RNAcentral lists this ribosomal RNA (428 nucleotides) under Pseudomonadota bacterium. RNAcentral's name for it is "bacterial SSU rRNA". It matches the Rfam family "Bacterial small subunit ribosomal RNA", at positions 1 to 413 of the family's 1533-position model. Lineage: Bacteria; Pseudomonadati; Pseudomonadota. The record is from RNAcentral.
UAAGUGGAGAGUUUGAUCCUGGCUCAGAGCGAACGCUAGCGGCGUGCCUAACACAUGCAAGUCGAACGAGAAAGCUUUCUUCGGAGAGUUAUUAAAGUGGCGCACGGGUGAGUAACGCGUGAAUAAUCUAUCUUCGAGUUCGGAAUAACCCGCUGAAAGGCGUGCUAAUACCGGAUAAGACCACAUUACUUAAGUAAGGCGGUCAAAGGCGGGGACCCUUCGGGGCCCGUCGCUUGAUGAGGAGUUCGCGUCCCAUCAGUUAGUUGGUGAGGUAACGGCUCACCAAGGCUAAGACGGGUAACUGGUCUGAGAGGACGAUCAGUCACACUGGCACUGGAACACGGGCCAGACUCCUACGGGAGGCAGCAGUGGGGAAUAUUGCGCAAUGGGCGAAAGCCUGACGCAGCGACGUCGCGUGAGGGAAGAAG